RNAcentral lists this ribosomal RNA (2674 nucleotides) under Salmonella enterica subsp. enterica serovar Typhimurium. Its description in RNAcentral is "partial 23S ribosomal RNA". It matches the Rfam family "Bacterial large subunit ribosomal RNA". The record is from RNAcentral. Lineage: Bacteria; Pseudomonadati; Pseudomonadota; Gammaproteobacteria; Enterobacterales; Enterobacteriaceae.
CCGAAUGGGGAAACCCAGUGUGAUUCGUCACACUAUCAUUAACUGAAUCCAUAGGUUAAUGAGGCGAACCGGGGGAACUGAAACAUCUAAGUACCCCGAGGAAAAGAAAUCAACCGAGAUUCCCCCAGUAGCGGCGAGCGAACGGGGAGGAGCCCAGAGCCUGAAUCAGCAUGUGUGUUAGUGGAAGCGUCUGGAAAGGCGCGCGAUACAGGGUGACAGCCCCGUACACAAAAGCGCAUGUGCUGUGAGCUCGAUGAGUAGGGCGGGACACGUGGUAUCCUGUCUGAAUAUGGGGGGACCAUCCUCCAAGGCUAAAUACUCCUGACUGACCGAUAGUGAACCAGUACCGUGAGGGAAAGGCGAAAAGAACCCCGGCGAGGGGAGUGAAAAAGAACCUGAAACCGUGUACGUACAAGCAGUGGGAGCNNNNNNNNNNNNNNNNNNNNNNNNNNNNNNNNNNGGGCGUUAAGUUGCAGGGUAUAGACCCGAAACCCGGUGAUCUAGCCAUGGGCAGGUUGAAGGUUGGGUAACACUAACUGGAGGACCGAACCGACUAAUGUUGAAAAAUUAGCGGAUGACCUGUGGCUGGGGGUGAAAGGCCAAUCAAACCGGGAGAUAGCUGGUUCUCCCCGAAAGCUAUUUAGGUAGCGCCUCGUGAAUUCAUCUCCGGGGGUAGAGCACUGUUUCGGCUAGGGGGCCAUCCCGGCUUACCAACCCGAUGCAAACUGCGAAUACCGGAGAAUGUUAUCACGGGAGACACACGGCGGGUGCUAACGUCCGUCGUGAAGAGGGAAACAACCCAGACCGCCAGCUAAGGUCCCAAAGUCAUGGUUAAGUGGGAAACGAUGUGGGAAGGCCCAGACAGCCAGGAUGUUGGCUUAGAAGCAGCCAUCAUUUAAAGAAAGCGUAAUAGCUCACUGGUCGAGUCGGCCUGCGCGGAAGAUGUAACGGGGCUAAACCAUGCACCGAAGCUGCGGCAGCGANNNNNNNNNNNNNNNNNNNNNNNNNNNNNNNNNNNNUGCUGGAGGUAUCAGAAGUGCGAAUGCUGACAUAAGUAACGAUAAAGCGGGUGAAAAGCCCGCUCGCCGGAAGACCAAGGGUUCCUGUCCAACGUUAAUCGGGGCAGGGUGAGUCGACCCCUAAGGCGAGGCCGAAAGGCGUAGUCGAUGGGAAACGGGUUAAUAUUCCCGUACUUGGUGUUACUGCGAAGGGGGGACGGAGAAGGCUAUGUUGGCCGGGCGACGGUUGUCCCGGUUUAAGCGUGUAGGUGUGUGUUCCAGGUAAAUCCGGUUCACUUUAACACUGAGGCGUGACGACGAGGCACUACGGUGCUGAAGCAACAAAUGCCCUGCUUCCAGGAAAAGCCUCUAAGCAUCAGGUAACACGAAAUCGUACCCCAAACCGACACAGGUGGUCAGGUAGAGAAUACCAAGGCGCUUGAGAGAACUCGGGUGAAGGAACUAGGCAAAAUGGUGCCGUAACUUCGGGAGAAGGCACGCUGACACGUAGGUGAAGUGAUUUACUCAUGGAGCUGAAGUCAGUCGAAGAUACCAGCUGGCUGCAACUGUUUAUUAAAAACACAGCACUGUGCAAACACGAAAGUGGACGUAUACGGUGUGACGCCUGCCCGGUGCCGGAAGGUUAAUUGAUGGGGUCAGCGCAAGCGAAGCUCCUGAUCGAAGCCCCGGUAAACGGCGGCCGUAACUAUAACGGUCCUAAGGUAGCGAAAUUCCUUGUCGGGUAAGUUCCGACCUGCACGAAUGGCGUAAUGAUGGCCAGGCUGUCUCCACCCGAGACUCAGUGAAAUUGAACUCGCUGUGAAGAUGCAGUGUACCCGCGGCAAGACGGAAAGACCCCGUGAACCUUUACUAUAGCUUGACACUGAACAUUGAGCCUUGAUGUGUAGGAUAGGUGGGAGGCUUUGAAGUGUGGACGCCAGUCUGCAUGGAGCCGACCUUGAAAUACCACCCUUUAAUGUUUGAUGUUCUAACGUGGACCCGUAAUCCGGGUUGCGGACAGUGUCUGGUGGGUAGUUUGACUGGGGCGGUCUCCUCCUAAAGAGUAACGGAGGAGCACGAAGGUUGGCUAAUCCUGGUCGGACAUCAGGAGGUUAGUGCAAUGGCAUAAGCCAGCUUGACUGCGAGCGUGACGGCGCGAGCAGGUGCGAAAGCAGGUCAUAGUGAUCCGGUGGUUCUGAAUGGAAGGGCCAUCGCUCAACGGAUAAAAGGUACUCCGGGGAUAACAGGCUGAUACCGCCCAAGAGUUCAUAUCGACGGCGGUGUUUGGCACCUCGAUGUCGGCUCAUCACAUCCUGGGGCUGAAGUAGGUCCCAAGGGUAUGGCUGUUCGCCAUUUAAAGUGGUACGCGAGCUGGGUUUAGAACGUCGUGAGACAGUUCGGUCCCUAUCUGCCGUGGGCGCUGGAGAACUGAGGGGGGCUGCUCCUAGUACGAGAGGACCGGAGUGGACGCAUCACUGGUGUUCGGGUUGUCAUGCCAAUGGCACUGCCCGGUAGCUAAAUGCGGAAGAGAUAAGUGCUGAAAGCAUCUAAGCACGAAACUUGCCCCGAGAUGAGUUCUCCCUGAGACUUAGAGUCUCCUGAAGGAACGUUGAAGACGACGACGUUGAUAGGCCGGGUGUGUAAGCGCAGCGAUGCGUUGAGCUAACCGGUACUAA